UACGGGGGGGGCAAGCGUUGUUCGGAAUUACUGGGCGUAAAGCGUGCGCAGGCGGUGAUGCAAGACAGAUGUGAAAUCCCCGGGCUUAACCUGGGAACUGCAUUUGUGACUGCAUUGCUGGAGUGCGGCAGAGGGGGAUGGAAUUCCGCGUGUAGCAGUGAAAUGCGUAGAUAUGCGGAGGAACACCGAUGGCGAAGGCAAUCCCCUGGGCCUGCACUGACGCUCAUGCACGAAAGCGUGGGGAGCAAACGGG
Molecule: ribosomal RNA, 253 nt
Filed under: uncultured bacterium
Lineage: Bacteria
Description: partial 16S ribosomal RNA
Rfam family: Bacterial small subunit ribosomal RNA
Source: RNAcentral